CUUUCCCUAUGUGAGUCAUUGUGCUCAAUCACAGAUUUUAGCCCUCUCUUAAAAAGGAUAAGCAGGAUAAAACUCCAGCAAAACCCAGUGGUAUCAGUGCUGUGCAAUGAAGUGUCUGUGAUGGGUGAAAGGAAGAGGAGACUCCUGUUCAUCCUGCUACUGCCACUGCUAAAACACAAAGUUAUGGAUACAGAUUUCCUCAACAGGAGGAGUGGCAAGUGCAAGAAACUUUGAGAAGUCUGGUGUAUGCAAAACCUCAAGGAAGAGCAAAGGACACUGCAGGAUUCAACAUGCUGGACAAUUACGGAAGAUGAAGAUUUCAAAGCACCUUUGAACUGUAGUAGUUAAUCAAUACUCUGGAGAAUAUAAAUCUGUGCUAAAGAUUCAGCAUUUCAAAUUAAAAUAAGGAGCUCUUCUACAGCAAAACCAGCAAAGGCCAAAGAAUGUUCUUAAUCUCUAAAGGUUAAAUAAGGAAUUUCAGAAAAAUCAGUCUGUCCAUAUCUGUCAUGCAAAAAAAUCAACUAAUGAACAUUUUGUAUCUGUUUAAAAAAUAAAAAUCUUUAAGAUAUUCA
RNAcentral lists this long non-coding RNA (572 nucleotides) under Junco hyemalis (dark-eyed junco). RNAcentral describes it as "lncRNA (ENSJHYG00000017229.1)". The record is from RNAcentral. Lineage: Eukaryota; Metazoa; Chordata; Aves; Passeriformes; Passerellidae.